CGCGCCCGCCCGUGGCGGGGGAGUCAACGAGUAUGGCAACGUGGCCGCCAUGGCUGUGACGCUGGCGCAGACGCUGGGGCAGAACCUGGGCAUGAUGUGGAACAAGCACCGCAGCUCGGCAGGUGACUGCAGGUGUCCAGACUCCUGGCUGGGCUGCAUCAUGGAGGACACAGGGUGAGUGCCUGUGUCACACUGCCUGGGGGAUGUGGGCACUCGGUCUCCCAAAAAUAGGGAAACUUAGCACCUCCCUCUCCAGGUCGUUUUUUCCCUCUCUUGCCCCGCGCACGGAGUCUGCUAGCAGGAUGCACCCAGCAUAAAGCAGUUAUGAGUACUGCGUGCAGCAGGGUUCAACACGCUGCCCUGAGCAGCUCUGCACCUCACGGUGGCACCCAGAGGGCUGGGGCUGGGCAGGGA
Molecule: non-coding RNA, 414 nt
Organism: Struthio camelus australis
Lineage: Eukaryota; Metazoa; Chordata; Aves; Struthioniformes; Struthionidae
Source: RefSeq, a predicted model, not a curated record